UUAAAAUCUGAUAACUUUCGCCGGAGCUCCCUGAAUGUCCGUUUGAGCUCAAACUUGACAGUCAUGUUCGGUUUUAUUAACUUAACAAGCUGACGAUCACUGGUUCAGUUUCGACCCCGUUUGGUCACUGAAGACUGUACCGAACUGUAAUCUUUAUCAGAUAACUCUCGGAUUUUAUUUCUCACUCUACGGAUGUCAGAAAAAUAUGAAACUUUAAAACUAGCCUUAUAAAAAUAUUUCUGACUUAUCCUCCAAUUUUCAUAAUUUUCUGAGACUGUGCAUUUUCUGCUAAUUUAUCUGUCCCGUUUCCAAUAGAAAAUUCUAGAUCUUCUGUUUUCAUUCCGAUUUCGGCACAAGUCAUUUCUGACUUAUGUUUUACUUUCACAAAUUCAAUAAAAAUAGUUUCUCACACUAUUUUUAUUUAUUUUUAUUUUUAUACCAAAAUC
RNAcentral lists this long non-coding RNA (446 nucleotides) under Ananas comosus (pineapple). RNAcentral's name for it is "long non-coding RNA (ACOM_LNC024229)". Lineage: Eukaryota; Viridiplantae; Streptophyta; Magnoliopsida; Poales; Bromeliaceae. The record is from RNAcentral.